This is a long non-coding RNA of Dromaius novaehollandiae (emu), 378 nucleotides long. RefSeq lists it as uncharacterized. The transcript is spliced from 2 exons. The record is from RefSeq and is a predicted model, not a curated record. NCBI's taxonomy places the organism in Eukaryota, Metazoa, Chordata, Aves, Casuariiformes, Dromaiidae.
AAGGAGGAUGAAAGAUUGUUUCUGGAAUGUAAGUGUAAGAAGUGAUACUUGUAGGAAAUAGGUGAUAAGACAUGGUAAGAAAUCCUUGGAAAACCAGUGUUACUGAUGGCAAUAAGAGUGCACAGGCCUUCCAGCGCACUGCACUGCAGGUGCUUACCUGGAAGAAAGACAACUAGGACCAUACCAGGAAGAAAAACAACUUCUGAAUUUCACAAGCCCAGGUUAUCUGAGCCUCAGAAUAGUAUGUGAAUCCUGUCACAGAUCGGUCAUUCUCAAGAAAUCACAGCUCUGCAAGUGCUGAGGGGAAAAAUGUAUUUCUUUAGUGAAGCCACAAUAUAUGAAUCAAAAAUAUAGAGGAAAUACUUUAUUGUGUAAGAA